This 324-nucleotide long non-coding RNA is filed under the name Salmo salar (Atlantic salmon). Its description in RNAcentral is "lncRNA (ENSSSAG00000102948.1)". Lineage: Eukaryota; Metazoa; Chordata; Actinopteri; Salmoniformes; Salmonidae. The record is from RNAcentral.
GUAUUGGAUAUUGGAAUGGUUGAGGUAUUAGAAUGGUUGAGAUAAAGGAAUGGUUGAGAUAUUGGAAUGGUUGAGGUAUUAGAAUGGUUGAGGUAUUAGAAUGGUUGAGGUAUUGGAUAUUGGAAUGGUUGAGAUAUUAGAAUGGUUGAGAUAAUGGAAUGGUUGAGAUAUUGGAAUGGUUGAGGUAUUAGAAUGGUUGAGAUAAAGGAAUGGUUGAGAUAAUGGAAUGGUUGAGAUAUUGGAAUGGUUGAGGUAUUAGAAUGGUUGAGAUAAAGGAAUGGUUGAGAUAAUGGAAUGGUUGAGAUAUUGGAAUGGUUGAGGUAU